This 42587-nucleotide long non-coding RNA is filed under the name Lactuca sativa (garden lettuce). Its description in RNAcentral is "long non-coding RNA (LSAT_LNC005864)". The record is from RNAcentral. Lineage: Eukaryota; Viridiplantae; Streptophyta; Magnoliopsida; Asterales; Asteraceae.
UCCUCAAUAUACUUAGCCAGUUCCACCAAGAACAGCCUUAAGCUUCUUCACUGUAGCAUCAUCAAGGAAGGUAGUCGCCUCCACCAACGAAGAAGGCAAAUCAUUUGCAAACAAAGCAAAAUCAAGAAUCUGUAAGCCAGGUGUCGCGCUACUGAAGCUCGCAAAUGCAACAGCUGUCACCCCACCAGCAUUAACUUGAAAAUGCAACAGCCCUUGUGGGAACACCAUAAGAUCACCCUUCUGUAAAGUCUUGACAUAAACAGUGUUAGCCGAUGAGAUAAACCCAGCCUUGAUGAACCCUUGGGUCACCAGUAAAAGCUCGGACCCACCUGGGUGGGUGUGCAUUGGGACCACACCACCCGGGGCUAAGUCCAACCGGGCAAUGGAGAUCCCGAGCCCGUUGACUCCGGGCAGCUGGGCAGCGAAUGCUGGAGUGACAGCGGCUUUGAUGAUGUUGGAAAGGUUUCCUGAAGCACGAAGGCCUGUGGAUACAAAGUCAUCAACUGUGACUACUGUGGCUGGUUUGCAGGCAUAUCCAGCGGGGCUUUCUGGGAAUUUUACGUCUGCGACACAGAAGUCUUGGACUGCUGCGUGAGUGGUGAAGGUGAAGAGAGAAAGGAGUAAGAGAAUGUGGAUCAUUUUUACUUUGGAUUUGUGAUGUGGGAUUUGAAUGAAGGAUUGAUGAGUGUUGUGGGAUGUUUAGGUGGUGUUUAUAUACAGGGUGGAUGUGGUUUUGGUGUAAUAUGAAGAGAUAGCCAUGCAAAGGAACUGCAACCAUAGGAUUUGAUCUUCUGAAAAAAGUGGAAAAGAAAGCUGGAGUGGUAGUGACAUCCAUGUUACUAGCUAUAGACGUCGAUACAACAGAUAAGACCUUUUAGGUGAAGAAAGUUAUUACAAAAAGCGAAAAUUGGCUCUGAAUUUCCAAUCAUUGGUAAUUCCUUUUUUUAUAAUCUUUCUAUACUUGUUAAUUUUUUUGGCAUAUUAUUUUCCACUAAUUUUAUUUCACAAAAACAUAUUUUCACAAACUUUUUCAAUGAUAACCGUUUCAAAAAACAAUUCAAAAUUAAUUCCUAUGUUAUAUAAAGACCCUCGUAUAUAUAGUUUGUUGUUUUUAAGUAUGUGUUGCAUUUUCGGAAAAUAACAUUUGACAUUAAGACGGGAGAGAGUGGCUCGCUAAAGGCGCCAAGUCUACUCCGUAAGAUAUGCUAAGAAACUUCCCGGAUAAGGCUCCUUGUUAGCAAGAGAAAAAAGAAAGAGGCAAAGAGAAUAAUGGCUUGUAAUUGAUAUUUUUUCUUUUGUUAUUUUAAAUUAGUUCUUUUGAUUGGUUCUUUUCAUUUGACUUUUUUUUUUUUUCUAAAAUCCAAGUGUAAUAUUUUUUUUAUGAUAAAAGCUUAGAUGGAAGGUAAAUAUGUGAUGUGACAAUGUACUUAGCAUGUGGCAAGUAUGUUACCAUUCCAUAUAGUUUAAUCUUCAAUAUCUUCUCUAGUAAAUAGAAAUAAUUUUGUCGAUUGUCAUCUUCUAAUGCAUUAUGUCACAUGAUUUUUUCUUAUUAUUUUUAUUUUUUUUUCAUAUGUCAUUUUAUGUUUUUUUUUUCAUUUUAUUAAAUGAGAAAUUGUCAGAAAAUACUCAAUAUUUUCGAAAAAAUUUCACUUUAGUCCCAAAUUUUAAUUUUUGAAUAGAAAAGUCUCGAUUAUUUGAUUUUGGCUCAAAUUAACAAAAAAUAUUUUUUUUUCUUUUAACAUUAAAUGACAUAUUAUCGUGUAAAAUCAAAUAAUCGAGACUUUUCUGUUCAAAAAGUAAAAUUUGGGUAUUGAGACUUUUCUGAUAAUUUCCCUUAUUAAAUUCCUCAUAAUAUUAAAUGUAAUAAUAAAUGAUAUAUCAAUUUCAUUAAUGGACUUUUCUUUUAAUUUCAAAAUUACAAAAUUAAAGUCUCAUUAGUUUUCUUUGUUUAUUUAUCUAAAUUCAAACUUUUGAAAUGUUUAGAAUUUCAUAUUUAGAUUUUCUUUUAAAUAAAUUCAUAUAAUACAUAGGUCUCACACCAAAUAAUAUUUGAAAGUUUUGUCAAUUACCUUUUAAUAUAAAUUUCAAUAAUAUUUAUUUAGUUAAAUAAAUUAACUAUAAAAAAAUAUAAAGUUUUAAUAUCGAAUACAGCUAUGGGUGUAAAAUGAAAUGUUAUUAAAUAUAAGGAGAGUUUUGUCAUUUAAAAAUCUCUGAUAAAAAAGCUAUCAAUUUCUUUUCUAAUUAUUAUUAUUAUUAUUUUAUUUAUUUAUUUAUUUAUUUUGGCAAAGAAGAUGAUGUGUAGUGAUCAUGAUCACAUUCAUGUCUAUUUAAAUUGUUUUUUAGGGACCAUGAUCAAAGUGCUUUUUAGCCAACUAGUUAAUGAUAUCCAUGCGAUUCACUCUGUGCGCAUGUCUUAGAGAUAUUUUAGGUGCAUUUCUUUGCUUAACCCUUGAACACGAAGGACGUAAGACUAUGUAACAAUCCUUGAUUAUUUUAUGCAUAUGAAUAUAUACACAUAGUUUGGAGUUUAAUUUCUUCUGAUUGUAUUGGCAAAACUGUAAUUAACUAGUUUUUUUAAAAGACUUUAUAAUGCCAUAGGUUUAAAAAAAAAUUUAUUGUUGGUUCAAGUGGAAAUUUGGUGAUUUAGGUAAUUCGGUUAUCAAAUUAAUAGUUAAAAGGGCUACGAUUGGAAGUGGUAUUUUUUGCGACCAAAGGGGAUAAUGAACGGAUGGCCACAAUCUUCUUCCAUAUUUAUAAGUCUUUGGCCAAAAGUCUCUUGCUAAAGCUAAAAGUUGCAAAAUGAGUGUCUUGAAGGUUAGGUAAUGCGUUAAAUGGUCUUCGGCGAAAAAUAAAUGAUUUUAAUACGAAAUGAGAGUCUAUCAAUUUUGUAAAUAAAAUAAAAGGAUAUUACUUAAUGGAGUAAUAUAUAUUUUUAUUUUGUUCUUAUUUGGUAACAUAAAUUUUUUUAUGCAUUUGAACAUUUAACUUAUUUCUUUUUACGUAUCUAAUUUUUAUAAUCGGGUACUCGGGGCUAAACCAGAAAAAUGACGUAAUAUGAUAAUAUAAUUUUCAGUUUGUAUAAAUUUAUUCUUUAAUAUUUUUGUACAUGUUUAGUCCUUAAGAUCGGUUUCUUCGGUUUUGUUCAUGACAUCCUACGUGGGACAAUCAUUAAUGAUGUGUUUUCAUAUGUGGCCCGUCCCUCACUUAUAUCAGUAACUGUUAAAACGUUGUCGUGUACAUCUUAAACAAAUAAAAAUCACUGUUUGGUUGUACUAAUGGGUAGCUCAGGGAAGCUUGGUCGAAUCCUUAAAGACACAACCUAAAAGCCAAUAUCUCUUUACGUACGACACAAUUAGUCAAAAACAUAAAAAUAUAAAAAGAGUUUUUUGCUGUGAAUUAAUAACUGAAAAUAGCAGUGAAAAUAACUUAAUAAAAUUCAAUAAUAAAAAGUGUUUUAGUUUUUUGUGAUUUUCCUAAUUAUGUAAUCAAUACAAAACUUGGUUAUUUAAUAUAUGUUCUAUCUAGAGUGGUACUGAAAACUACUAACAAGCUCUAGUUAGUUCUCUUUUACCUAGUUAAUUAACUAAAACAAGCUAUUCAAUUAAUCCUAACUUUUUACUAACCUAAUUAAACACACUUUUAAUAAUGUUAGGAAAGCAACAUUAUGAUAUGUGUAAAAUUCUCAGCAAUAUUUAAUACUUCUAACAAACUAUGGUGAUCAUUCAAAGGGAUAGGAUGAUCAUUCUCUGGUUCUUCUCCAAACCAUCCAGCAAUGACUUCGUUCGGAAGAUACGGAUUGCCGUGAGGAUGGAGUCCAGCCAUGUUAUCUACGCGAGAAUUGGGGUAAGAAAAUAAUUAUUAGACGAACUAUCUAGAUAAUUAUUUAGAAAAUCUUCAUUAGUUACAUCACUAUUUGUGAAGUGCAUACCAGUUAUAUGUAAUCGAAACAUGAUAGACCUUCGAAUAAGUGACCUUAACUCCAAAUUCACAAAGAAUAGGGGUAAAACAAAAUUUUCACAUAUUUUAAGUCUAUAACAUCCUAGUUACAUAUAGUCUUAGUGUUUCCACUUAGCAACUAUCAACUUAGUAAUGAAGAUCCCGUUUAGUUCUCAAGUAUGAAGUACUUAUAGUAACACCAAAUACCCCUAUAAUAUUUUUGGUUUAUGUUCUAUUGUUCUCAUUGUGGUAUUGUUGGUAAGAUUUUAGACUUGUUGCAACCACACAACUACACUUAGGCACAUGCUAUUCAGCCCUCGGAUAAUAUAGUUGAUCAGGCUAUAUCUUCCCAGUUUUGACUAUAUGUCUCUAAGUCUACUUGUGCUGCCCAACAAUCGUAAUUCUUUUGUAUUGUCCUAGUGACACUAAUUUUAGAAUGAAUGCAGGCACGUAUACUUAAUUAAAUAUUUUACUAUUUAAAGUAUAAACUCUUGGUCAGAGUAUUUUAAUCCCAUUGUAUUUAUAGUCUGUAUAUCUUUUAUGGGUUGAUAUACUUAAUUCACUAUAAACAAUGCUCUGAUACCAAUCUGUCACACCCCAAAACCAUGAACGGCGGAAACGUUCUGGGGCGGAGGACGUCAUGUACAGUAUCACAACAAUGAAUAGUAGUAAACAAGCAACAACAUCAUCCAUUGCAUUAAUAAUAUAAUUUUAAUACAAGUGUUCUGAUAUGUCUAAUAGACACUAAAGUAUAAAUCAAAAUGAAAGAUGAGUCUUGAACGAGCUCCAUCUUCUCUAAACCUUGCAUCGGUACCUGUCUACUGUUGACCUGAGGAUACAAGUUAUUUUGAAAGAGAGUAUCAGCUUUAAAGCUGGUGAGAUCAUAAGUAUUUUAGUGUCUUAAUUUGUAUGUAAGUAUUUGUACGUAUAUGAAAUGUAAGUAUUUGUAUGUAUAUGAACUGUAAGUAUUUGUAUGUAUAUGAACUGUAAGUAUUUGUAUGUAUAUGAACUGUAAGUAUUUGUAUGUAUAUGAACUGUAAGUAUUUGUAUGUAUAUGAACUGUAAGUAUUUGUAUGUAUAUGAACUGUAAGUAUUUGUAUGUAUAUGAACUGUAAGUAUUUGUAUGUAUAUGAACUGUAAGUAUUUGUAUGUAUAUGAACUGUAAGUAUUUGUAUGUAUAUGAACUGUAAGUAUUUGUAUGUAUAUGAACUGUAAGUAUUUGUAUGUAUAUGAACUGUAAGUAUUUGUAUGUAUAUGAACUGUAAGUAUUUGUAUGUAUAUGAACUGUAAGUAUUUGUAUGUAUAUGAACUGUAAGUAUUUGUAUGUAUAUGAACUGUAAGUAUUUGUAUGUAUAUGAACUGUAAGUAUUUGUAUGUAUAUGAACUGUAAGUAUUUGUAUGUAUAUGAACUGUAAGUAUUUGUAUGUAUAUGAACUGUAAGUAUUUGUAUGUAUAUGAACUGUAAGUAUUUGUAUGUAUAUGAACUGUAAGUAUUUGUAUGUAUAUGAACUGUAAGUAUUUGUAUGUAUAUGAACUGUAAGUAUGAAAACGUUUUGAACAUCCUAGAAAACCAUAUGUUUCCUACUAAAAGUAUCCUUCUACCAAGGCAUCUAGUAUCUGUGUGUGUGUCUCUUGUAAGAGUGUGUAUUUUCCCAAUUCUGACUAUCAUUAACCAAAAAUAUAGCUUCUACAUUGGCGUGCAUCGUGUGAAUGUUCACGAAGUGAAUGUAAUGGGAAAACGAAAUAGUACUAUGGUGUAGUAUCAAAUAACUACAAUCGUACUAACUACCUUAAAUCUAUUGUAAUUUAAAUUAACAUGUGAUUGGCCUGUAUCCUGCUACCGACUCUAGUAAAACGACGAUGUAAGACGCCGUAAGAAAUGACAUUUGGCACUCGUAGACUUGCAAGUCCCACUGUAGCGAGCAGCAAGGUGUAGGAUAGUCAAUCCAGUAUAGAUCUAUACGCAAACUCAUACGCUCCCCAAUUGAGGAGAUUCGGGAUACAAGAGUGGUCAUGGCAGGAAGUGCCAUGACCCGCUCAAUGGUUCACAUAACUGCAUGAAUUUAUAUGCAAUGAAUGUCCUAGCUGAAAGUGUAAUCUUUCCCUGUCUAGCCUGUAUGUACUGAAAUGUUCUCUCUAUCUAGCUGUAAUGUGUGUUCUCUCUAUCUAGCAUGUAUAGUAAUGUACGGUGUGUGCUAGCUGUAAUGUGUGUUCUCUCUAUCUAGCAUGUAUAGUAAUGUACGGUGUGUACUAGCUGUAAUGUGUGUUCUCACUAUCUAGCAUGUAUAGUAAUGUAUUGUAAUGUUCUGCGUGUGCUAGCUGUAAUGUGUGUUCUCUCUAUCUAGCAUGUAUAGUAAUGUACCGUAUAUACUACUCGUACUGACUCAUGAAUGAGCUGACUCAUUGUAUGUUUUAUUGUUCUAGUAAUAGUAUUAGUAUCUUCCUAUGCUACCCAUAUGGUAGCUUACUAGUAAUGUAAGUGGUACGUAUGAACAUGGAAGUAUACCCUUGCUACCCAAGGGCAUUGAACUGACUGGAAGAACCUUUAUGACUAUAUAUGUAUACAUAAUAUAUAACUAAUAUUUAGACGACCUUCGUACGGAUAAUCGAUGCCCUAACGCCACAUCCCAACGAGGAAAAGGAGGUAAAGCGAGCUAACCUUCCUAAGUCCUUUAAACAUUACUUAUGUAACUAUACAUAUCUAGGCAUGCAAUUGACAAUAUAAAAGCAUAAAAGAAAUUUUGUAAAACCAUUGAAAAGUUUAGUAUCUAAGAAAGGAUGACUUGAUGUCAAAUUGUAAAACGAUUUGAAAGCAGUUUGUUUGAUAAGAACAAUGUAAAGUAUAAGGAAAACAUUUGUUUUGAAUCAUGAAUGUAACAGGGUUUGAAAAGAUACACUCAGUAUGCAAGACAGUUUAACAAAUAGUUUUAAUUGAGUAAAAAUGUUUUGGAAAGCCAUUUGAAGUAAAUUGUUUGGUAAAACAGCUAUAAGAGUAGUAAAUCCUUUUGUAUGCUACUUAUUAAUCACUUGUGAUUAAUAUAAUAACUAGCAUGAUUCAACUUGUAUCCCCCGCCCAUAAAGCAUUUUAAAACAUUUAAAUCAUUGAUUAAGGGGUAUGAACUCACCUGUAGCAAGUGGUUGGGAUGAACUGACUGAAAUAGGAUGAUAGGUGUCAAGUGAAGACUUGUACACCCUCUAUGAUCCUAGAUAACAUAUAAUAUCACAUAUAUGUAACCAAUUAGCCUUUAAACAACUAAUAAACAAAGCUAAGACACCCUAGGACAUGCUAAACACUUUAUAUAAAUGUUAUAGGUCCUAAGGAUUGCAUCUAAGUGUUGUAGGGAAAGGCUAGUGUGUUUGGGGUUCAAGGAAAACUCCAUUUGGGAGUUUACGGUUUUGUGGUCACUAACAAAAGGGUUUACGGUCGUAAGCCCACACACUUGUUGACCAUUUGAUGUUUGAAGCCUUAAGAGUCCCUAGAAGCUUUUCUACUUGAUGUAUGUGACCAUGGAAGUUACUAGGGCACCAUUUCACUCCUAAAUGGAGUUUACGGUCCCUAAACCAUUUUCCUUUGGGUUUAAUACCGUAAACCCAUAAGGUUUAUGGUAUUUGGGGGUUUUCAAGUCCUUAGCUCAUCAAGGUAAUUGUCUAGGUUAGAUUCUAGGCAUAAGGAAUAAAUAUGGGACAUUUAUACACUCUUUGGGGUGUUUACAGUUUUGGGAGAUCCCCAAAUCAUAAACACAUAUAAAUGAGUGCUUUUUGUGCUUUUUUUGUGAUAAACUCAUCAAGGAAGGAUCUAGACAAGUCCCUAAGGCAUUGUGAAGCACCUAGGCACCCUUUUGCACCAUAACUUGGUGUUUACGGUUCAAGAACUUCUUGAACCGUGAACACCUUGUUCUUGGUGUUCUAGGGACAUUUCCUUGAUAUUAAAAUGUAUAGCAAGCUUUAAAAGACUCUAGGAUAGAAGUACUUACUAUGUGGAAGCUUGAAAGGAGCUAAAAGUCCAAGAACACUAGUGUGUGUUCUUGGUGUUCUUGGUGAAAAUGAAAAAUCAAUCUUUUGGAAUGAUUUCACGAUUAGAAAUGUGUUAAAACACUAGAUUAAGUCAUUUAAUAACUUAAGAAGGCUAGAAACACUUACUAGAUUGAAGACCUUGAAAACUUUUGGAUGAUACUUGAGAGAGAAAAGGGUUUGGAUCUUGAGAUUUUUGGAAAAAGUGUAAAUAAUGACUAACACUCAUAUAUAUACUCCCAAAUUUAGGGUUUUGGCAGAAAAUAUUUUAUUCGGGCAGUAAACUCUAAUUUCUUAGAGUUUUGGAAUAACAGUGUUGCACAAUAAUCCUAGGGCAUCCUCUCUCCAGAUAUCACCUGAAGUGUAAAUCCUAAAAUACUCAAACUUGUUCCGAAAAGUUUGAAAUUUAGCAGCAACUUUUCUGGUUUCUAUUGCAUUGAAGGGUUGCAAAGAAUAGAAAUUUCGGGUUGUCACACAUAAACACCACCAUGCAUCAAUAUAUUACAACUGGAAUUGUUCACAUCAAGUACAUUGUUUAAACAUUACAUAUCCAUACAUAAAUUGUUUGAUAGAUAUCAUAAGCAAAACACCCUAACAUACUUGGUACUUAUUCCUUGACUUACCUGUUACCUGAGAAUACAAGUUAUUUUGAAAAAAGGUCAACAUAUGAAAUGUUGGUGAGUUCAUAAGUAUGUUGUAUUAAAAUGAUUUGCAUAAUUUGUAAAACCCAGCAAAUCCGAUAUUUUCUGAAAAGACCAUUGUUUAAAAAAAAGGUGUGAAGAUCCAUACCAUAUGCAUGAUGAUUUCAAAACAUGUACAAUUGAAGAACUUUAGUAUUUAUCGUACAAGUGAAAAUGUUGAACUUCCUCGGGAAACCCAAUGUUUUCCAAAUACAUAAAAUACAGUGAUUUCUCAAAUUGUUAUACCGCCACAAUGAAUGAGUUUGAUUACUCGGGUGGUGUUGGAUUAAUUAAGGUUUGUGAGUUGUUAUAAUAAUGCAUUAGUAAUGACUAGUUUAUAACUACAGUUUACGAACGAUCCUUAGAGGCGUCGUCCGUUAUAACUCACUUAAUCCAACCACCUUGAUUACUCUCGAUUAUCGCCCUGAAUCUGUUUACGUUGAUUACUCAUAAGCCUAGCAAACGAGGAAAAGAGGAGUAUAAGUCCUGCUACUUCCGUGAGUUUACUUUAGGCCGUCGGGGAUGCGAAAGACUCGUUGGUCCAUCUCGCAUUUGAUUACUUUGACCUUACUGGCAAUACUAUUGGAUCACUAGGGCCCAAAAGCACUUGAGAGCCAUUGAAGGUCCCUUUAUAUGGAAUUGGGCCAUAGAAGGCCCAAUAACAUAUAAACAUUAUCCCUUGGGCCCAAAGAUCAUGUUAAUGGACUUGCAAGGUCCAACAAGCAUGAUUUGAAACUUUCAAGCCCAAGUGUCGAAUGUUUACUUGUCUUAGGUAUCGCUUAUCUAUUGGAGGGUUCGAUUUAACGGUUGUUGUUUUUGUAUCGAUUCAAGACCAAUCGAUUUGUUUAUAACGAUAUUUGGAGUUAAACGUGUAUUCGUCUUUUAAUUUUUCAUAAGUAAUGGUUUUGUAUUUGACUUAAUGAAAUAAUUUGCUUAAAACAGUGGUUUGACCUUUUCAACACCUUCCUUUUUAUAAAAAUGACAGUUUUAGUCCUUUAUAUAAAAGAAAAGACAUUUUUAGCCCUUAAAAUAUUUUCUUGACACUUUUGCAUCAUAGAUUUGUUGAAAUGAUAGUUUUAACUCAAAACUUAUUUUUUUUAACAGUUUCACCCCUUUCAGAAUAGUAUUUUUCGAUUUAAUACCCAACUUUCCACAAUUUUUACAGUUUUGGCCCAAAAUCCAAAAACUUUACAUUUUUUUUUAUCCUUUUUGGAAAUGAAAAGCAUUUUUGACCCUUGAAAUAGUUUUGUUACACUUUUUAUCCCUUGAUUUGAAGAAAGUUUCAUUUCAGCCCCUUUAAUUGUCAUUUUUCGCAAUUUUGGGCUUAUUGGGCCGAAAAGCCCAAAAUUAGCCCAUUAAGCUAAAAAUUUACAUUUCAAGUCCUUUGAAAAUUUUAAUAUUCAGAAAAACAAUUAUUAAAACUGUUUUGACUCUUUUGACCCUUAAGAAACCGUGAUUUGGCAACUUUUAACCCAAAUUUUUGUAUAUUUGACAAUUUAAGCCCAAAAAUGGGUUUUAUGUUGAAGUAUGUUUAACACAAUCUUAUAAGUUAUUAUUCUUGACUUUUUUGGUGUAAAAUAACUUAGAUCAUGUUUGUUUACUUUCUCAUGUCAUAGAUCUCGAGUUAACACCCCUUUUUAGUUACAUGUUCAUCACAAAAACACAUAAAAUCAUACAUACAUGCAUAAAAUCACACAUAGCAUACACAUACACAUAGAUCUACACAUUUUCUUGUAUUCUCCCCCAUAAAACAUAUGAAAAUCGAAAAGAUAGGGGUAUGAAGCUCACCUUAAGUUGUGGUUUCGGUUUUUGAAGGAAGAGAUGAAGAAAGUUUCGAUCCUAGCAAGUCUUCUUGGAGGAUCUCGAACUUAGAUGUUUAUAAGAGGGUGAUCAUGAGUUUGAAUAGAUUAGGAAGAGAUUUUUGAUAAGCAAAAGAAUCAAGAUCAUAUAUCCAAGAAAUAACUUACCUUAGAUGAUGAAUUUGUGGAAUAAUCUCCUUGGAAAGCUUCCUAAAUCUCGAAAAUUUGGUGAAGAGUGAACAGAGUUUCUUUGAGAGUGUUUGAGUAAAACGUGUGUGUGUGUGUUUGUGUUGGUUUCGGCCAAGAGAAAAAGAGAGAGGAGGGAAGAGAUACUUUUGAGUUGACAUGCAUGAAAACAUGAGAUUUUUGCAUGGGGUUCCAAUGGUUAAAUGUGAGGUGGCAACUUAAAGUCAACUCCUUCUCUUUUGGGUUGUUGGGCCGAGAAAAAAAGAGGGGAAAGAAGGAUUUGGGCCCUUAAAUGCUCAAGCCCAAAUUGUAAACUCAUUAGGUGAUUUUUGGUCCAAUUAAAUCAAAGGAUGAUUUUUAUGAUCCAUUAGGGCUAAUUAGAUUUGUUAUGGCCCAAUAAGGCCCAUUUAAGAUAAACUAGUUCAUUUUAGGCUUGUAAGGCCCAAAAUAUUAAGUUUCAUGUAUAGGGGUCCAAUUAGAGCCCAUUUAAGAGUUCUAAAACCCAAAAAAAUCAAAUUGGAAACUUAUUGGUCAAUUAGGCCCAAUAAGGAAAUCCUAGUCCAAAAUGGACUUAAAUCGGGAUUCUUAGGGUUUCCAACGUUUUGUUGACUAUUUUAUGCGCUCUUAUAAAGUGUCUGAUGGAAGUUUUGUUGUUAUUAAAUAAGCAUCAUACAUGCUUUCACAUUGUUGGUUCACAUUUGUUAUCAUUGUUCAAUGUUUACAAGGCACCAAAUUCCUAGCUGUGACAACUUAGGAAGCAUGACCCGUGUUUGGAGAUGGGUGGAAUCCAUGUGUAGUUAAAUGAAGUACAUUACCCAAAAGGACGUUUUUUAGAGUCACAGGCAUGAAGCACGGAGUGUGCUCGGGCUUCCAGGUCGUGCUCUUCAGGCGCAAAGUAAUAAUCCUAGAAAUCUUGUAAAAUCAGAAAUAAAAUGUCACCGGGGAGUAAGCAGGGCUCGUGCUUGGGCUAUGAAACUUUAAAUAUCAAAAAUAAUGCACUGGUUGGGAUCAGGAAGCAGGCACGGACCGUGCUUGGGAAGCAUGACCCGUGAUUCAGGACCAAAGUUUUAAAAGGCCUAAAAAUCAGAAAUCUUUUGGUUAUGUUCUGUAAGUGGAGAACAGCCCAUGUUUGGUAAGGCAUGGCCCGAUCUUGGUAUUUUUUUUAGAGUUUUGAAUCCAUAUAUGCUCGAAAUAUGCAUCCAAGUUGCUUCCAAAUCACUGUUCCACUCGAAAUAUCUAAAAAUGACAUAAAAAUAUGAGCGGUACGAGAAUUUUCUAGCGAAAAACAUGAGUUGAAAUUUAUUUAAACUAACAAACAUGAAAAAGCAUAAAAUAUGAUGCAAAACACUAAUAAAAACUAAUAUAAAAGAUGCAUAAAAUGGCAUCUAACAAUAACUUAAUUCACAAAUUGGUCAAAUAAUGUUGGUGCCCUAGUUUUCUCCAAGUAGAAGAUGUUUUCAGCUUCAGGUGCAUCUAUCUCUAUAUCAUACAACAAGGUUCUUUGUUAUUGUUUCUUCCCAACUCGAAGAUAUUUUCUCCAAGUAGAAGAUGUUUUUAGCUUCGGUUGCAUGAAAGACUCUAAACUUUUUUCCAGGUUGUUCUUUUGUCAUGGAAGUGCAAAAUCGAGUUGGGAUGAAGUAAACACAAAGAAUCUUGUUGUCUACAAUGGAGAUAGAUGAAACCAAAUUUGAAUACAUAUUCUGUUUGGAGAAAACUAGGAAACUAACAAUAUUUGACUAAUUCAGGAAUUAGGUUACUGAUAUAAGUGAGUGAUAAGCCACGUAUGAGAACACCUCCUUAAUGAUUCCCCAUCAUAGGAUGACAUGAGCAAAACCUGAAGAAAUAGGUUAUUGAUACAUGAAGUGACCCUCGACAGCUAAGAUUAUUUUGGGGGUUUUCAAAGUUCUUUUGGAGUAAUGAUGCGAAGAGUUUUUGGAUGGGUGACGAGAUGAAAUUCGCUUUUGAGUUAUUGCAAAGAAUUGAUACACUAAAGAUGAUAUGCAAAGACUAGAGUUAAGGAGCUUAUCCAAAGAGUUGAAGUACAGUGUUUGAUGAUGUUUUUCUAAGGUACAGUGUUUGAUGAUGUUUUUCAAUCAAUACACAAUCAAUACAAAAAUAUUUUAUUUAGAUUGUUGUUUGUUCUCUAUAUCUUUUGUAUUACACAAUCAAUACAAAAAUAUUUUCUGUAGAUUGUUGUUUGUUUGUUUUUUUGGUUUUCUAGUUAUUUAAAUCUUAGGUUUUUUAUGUAAAUUUUAUUUUAAUUAAUAUAGUGGUUUUUAUUUUUAAUUAAUUUUAUGUUUAUUACUCAUCUAAAAAAAUUAUAAAUCAUAAAAAUCAAUUAUUUUUAUUAAAAAAAAAAUGAAGGAAGCUUCCCACACACACUUUGACUUUUGGUGAAGAAAAAAAAAGUAAAAGAAAUGAUGACGUCGCAGACAAAAGAUGAGGGAAACUUCCCGUACCACCUCUAGACUUAUAAGAAAAGGAGGAAGCAAAAUAUGAUGCCUACCACCCUAAAUUUUCUGAUUUUACAAAUGAUAAGGAAAAAAAACUAACAUCUUAAUGCGUUUUGUGGUCCAUGAGAGCACAUGGUAACGGAAUUAAGAAAUGCACAAAACAACAUAGCGAGACAGCUAUCCGAUUCUAGUAUUCUUAUUUUGUCCAUUUCCUCAAACGUUGAAUUACAAUUUACAAACCAUUCUCUAUAAAUAAUGUAUGGCAAUAACUAGUUCUCCUUUGGGUAAGGUGCAUUCUGAUUGGCUAAAGCAAAAUAUAAAUGUGGCCCAUUUUAUCAUUUUCCACAAGGGGCUUUAUUGAUUAUAUUUUAAAGAUUCCUAGGUUUUUAUAAUUGUGAAUUUACAGAGCAUAUACACAAAAAACCACAUUUGGAUAUUGAUGUUUGGGACCUCGGAGUUUUCAAAUAUAAAAUGGGUACAAAUUACAUCGUUAUUCUUCAUAGUGGUGAUUCUUUGUUUGUAAGUUUGUGGUAUCAAAAGCUCGAGUACACAUGAUUUUAGAUUUCUCAUAAAAAAAUUAUUCUUUAUUAACUGAGUUUAAAAAUGCAUCUAAUGUCAUAUAAAUACUUCUUUAAUAAAAAAAUUUGAGUUGAAGAAAAGUUUAAAAUUUAUUCACAUAUGAAUUUACCAAAUAAGACCAUAACUGUGACACCCAAUUGAAUUAAAUAGGAUUAAACAUGAAUUUAUGUGUAACGAGUACAAGUGAACAUAACACAUAGUAUAGGGCCUGUAAUGUAAAUAAUGGGGAGUUUUUGUGUUUGGCCAAGGGUAAACCGUUACUCAAGCUUUUGAGUUAUGUUUCCUUUACCGAUUAGGACUUGAUUUGAAGAUUGUUCCUUAAAUUGAUUCAUAUAAUAAAUCGAUAUUUAUAAAUCAAUCAAGUUUAUCCCAAAAGCAAUUUGCAUAAUAAUGUUAGAUAAUUAUGGGACCACAUCAUAUAUAUGUAACUAGUUUAUAAUCCGUGGGAACCACGGUUAGAAAAUUAAUUAAACUUUCUAAGUAAAAAUUUAAAAUUAUGAAUUAAUAAUUUUAAAUAACUUAUUAAUUAAAAGAUAUUUUUUUAGUUAUAUAUAUAUAUAUANUAUAUAUAAUCGUUGAUUCAAAUAAAUACGUAAAAUAUAUCAUAUUAUAAUUUGUAUAAAUUUUAUUUAUUUUUAUUCUAAUAUUAUUAAUUUAAUGUAAUUAAAAUGUGAUUUAAAUUUUGAAAUUUGAAAUUUGAAAUGGAGAAUUAAUAGAUUGAUAAAUGCCAUGAUAUUAAUUACAAGUGCCAAUAGAUUGACAAGUGUCAUAAUAUUUAUUACAAUGGCUAACAUGGUGACACAUGGCAAAAGAACUACUCUUUUAUUAGUAUAGGGAGAAGGGAGAUGUUAUCAUUAAAUCAAGUUAUUAUUAUAAGACUAUAAAUUGUUGAUGGACCGAUUUAUAGAUAUUUAUUUACCUUGUGAGUUAAGUUCCCGAUUUGACUUAAAAUCCUCAAGAUCCAUUCCAUCUCUCACAUUAUGGUUUAUCUCCAUCUAUAAAUAUAUGUGAUGAGGAGCAGAUCGACACACACGAAAAUACACAUGAAAAUUCGUUUAAGGUUUGAUGAGGGAUUUUAGAAAGAACUCUUGUGAUCAACUGGAAAACUCAACCUAGUUUUUCAAAUUCGAAGAUUAUAAUGAAAUCAGGUAUCUAAUCGUUCUUUCUUGAUUAAGCUUUCUUGUAAUCAAAUUCGAGCUUAAGAUCCUUAUGCUUCCGCGUUUAUGUUUUAGUUAUCAAAACAUCCAACAAUUGGUAUCAGAGCCUACUCGAAUCUAAUAUCAGAAAUUUAAGUUUAGGUUGAUUAAGAUAUGUGUGAAUAUUUUAAAUUAAGCAUAUCCGUGUAAAUUGAUCUUCAACAAGAGAAACGGGUUAUGUCAACCGUAUAUUUUCUUUGUUUGGGUUUUAUUUAUUAAAAAAAUGCUUAUCACAUUUUUGCAAACCCUCAUGAUUUUUGUCGCUUUCAAUAAUUAAUAGUAUGGCUUCAUUCCUUUUAUUUUAGGAAUUAAAUAUGGAUAUAAUAAGUCAUAUAAGUUCCAUUUAAAUUGUGUAAAGUCUGUCUUUUCUGACAUCAUUUAUUAAUUUCUUUAUAAGAAUUUAAUAAAAUAGUCGUAUCUUUUAUUUUGUAUUUAAAAGUUGUGUUUGUAUAUUUGUCGGUUUAUUUUUUUAAGCUAUAAUGACACUGUAUGUACAAGUAUAAUUAUUUUAUUUAGUUGUGAAAUUUGAAUAAGGUAUGAAAUCCAUUUUUUUUAUCAUUUUAUGUAUCAAGAGGAUUUCAUAAUGAUCAAUUUUUAGCAAAUACAAUUAUAUGGGAAUAUUAUUAUGAUAGAUUUUGAUUUGAUUUUAUUGUUGUUGUCUUUUCCGAACAUAGUUGACAUCAUUAUCUUCAUAAUCUAAUUGGCCUAAAAUAUUGUGGGGCAUUUAAGGAAAUUAUUAGAUAACAUCUUUUGUUAUAUAUCAAUUUGACACCAUUUCAUGUAUGGUUGUCUUUUAUUUAUGGUUAUCAAUAAAUUCGGUUAUGCUAUUAUUUAUUUUCUUGGAAAAUUUAGUGACAUUAUAUAUCGCCAAAGUGAUCCCUUUUUUGUAAAUAUUAAUUUUCUAAGAAUCUAAAUAUUAUGGUUUAUAUGUUUAUUAAUGCGAAUAUUAAUCGAUCCAAAUGUAGGUUAAUAUUUGGCCGGAUAAAUACAUGUUCAAUGAUAAAUAUGCGACAAUUUUUAGGUUACAUGUCAUUAAUAAGUCAAUCCAAAGAGGGCUUAUUAAUUGAUAUGAUAUAUUGUCAAUUCUUAUUAUCAAAAUUUAUAGUUUAUGUGUUUAUUAAUGCGGGUAUUAGCCGACCCAAAGGUAGACUGCUAUUUGGCCGAAUAAACAUAUAUGUGGUGAUAAAAAUGCGGUGAUUUGUUUUUUUGGUUCCAUAUGAUUAAUAAGUCAAUCCAAAGAGGGGCUUGUUAAUUGACAUGAUUUAUUGUCAAUGUUUAUCUCUAAAACAAGGAUAUAUCUUGCAAGUUAGUAUUACUUAUUAAUGUUGUGUUGAUACCUUGUAAAGAUGUCAUAAAUUGAAUUUAUUGAUUACAAUUUAUGGAUUAAUAAGCAUAAAAAUAGAUUUGUUUAUGUUUGAAUAAUGGUAUUAUAUCUGCUAACAUUGAUCACAUUUAUGAUUUAUGUACUCAAUGAAAUUAAUUUUAAAGAAUAGAAUAAGGGCAUUAUGUUAGUUCUCAAUUGCAUGGAUAUUGACUUUAUAUUUUGGAUAGAGCAACAAUCUUUGAGGAUGUUGAGUUUGGGGGAGAAACAAGGUUAAAACAUUGUCCUUAAGGAGGAAUCAAUCUUGAUUCCUAUUAUUGCUUUUGAUAGUAUGCAGAUUAUGAAUCAGUAAUCGAUAAUGUUAUUCGAUCUCCUAUUCAAAAUACACAAACUCAUCAGCCUCAAAUUUGGAUAUCCUAUGUGUGGUACCACAUUUUUCAUCAACUUAUUAUCUCUUUUGGUUUUGAGGUAAAUACAAUAGUUGAUUUUGUGUAUCACAGAUUAAGUAAAAGUAAAUUUAUCUUUCUGGUUUUGGGCAGCUAUCUACGAAAUUCAAGUUUAGAUCAUAAGAAAGCAACCAAAUGGAUUUUGAGAUAUCUAUAUAUAACAAAAGGCUAUGUGAUCAACUAUAGGAAAUUCAGAUGUUUUGGAGAUCAUUUUUAUUAAGGAAGUGAUUUUAUUAGAUGCCAAAAUAGUUAUUGAUCCAUAUCAGGAUACUUUUACAUAUUAGCAUGAUGCGUCAUUUCAUGGAAUAGACUUCGGUAACUUUUUCCAUAAUGGCAGAAUAAUUUGUAGCAUGGAAUAUGGUUGUGGAAAUUUGUUACGAGGCUAAACAUUAUUGGUAUUAAAAGACUACUAAAGUUUUGAUAAUAAGUCAACAAUGUUAUAUUCCAACAACAGAAGUUCUAUUAAGUCAAAUCAUAUUGACAUAAAGUUUUCUUUUGUUCAUACAAUAGUGCAAAAUGGAAAUAUAUAUAGCACAUAUGAACAAACUCCAUGAAAGCGGAUCCUCUCAUAAAGGGAUUACCUCCCUAGGUCUUUCAUGAGCAUACUACACACGUUGGUGUGAUAUUUGGUUUUAUUGGGUGUUUUUAUGGUGCUUUAUGUCUUGUUUAAGAACAAGUAUGUUUUUCUGUACAUAAUUAAGAAUUCAGUUAUCUCCAUUAUUAGUUGCACUUAUUUGAAGUUUGAUCUCACUUCAAUCUAAAGAGGAACUCGUUGGAAAUCUAUUUAGAUUUCAAAAUCACACAUCAUGUUUAAUCUAUGUCGUUAGUUAUAUAUGUAUAUGUGAUCAUUGAUAGGUUUAGUUACCUAAAUUGUAACGAAGACCGCUUUGAUCCUAUACUAUUAUCAGGGCCGGCCCUUGGCAAGCUCACAAGGUGCAUAAGAACAGGGCCCCAAAAAGUCGGAGGGCCCAAUUUUUUUAGCAGCUAUGUUACCUAUGUUCAACCCAAAACAAAAAAUUAGGUUUAUAUUCUAUUUGCCGGCAUUUAUCAGUCCACGCAAGGAGCGGGAAAAAGCAAGAAAUUUCGGGAAACCCAAAAGAACGCUUCGGUUUCUUCAUCAGAUCUUUGCUUAGGCAUGUGGCAAGAAUUAAAUCUGCAAUGGUAUUGUUUGAUUCAUAUCAGUGAUUUUGGAGGGCAAUGAGGCAAUCAACAAUCUUCCUUCUUUCUUUUUUUCUUCACGAAAUUUUGAAACAAACUUACAACCUGUCUCAAAAAUCAGAAAAUCGUUCUUCACUUAUUUCUUUUCGAAAAUCAGAUCUUAUGCUUUGUGCCCUGUUACGAUUUUCAUUUAUAAUUUCUGGCUUUUUAUGUGUUCAUUGUAUGUUAUUAUGAUUUUGUUUCUAAUUUCUGGCUUUUCUUUUCUAAUUUUUGGCUCUUUAUUUAUCAUUUGUAUAUUGUUAUGAAUUCGUGUCUGAUUUAUGGAUAUCUUUUUUGAUAUCUUGUUUUUCUCAUCUGAUUUCUAACUUUUUAAUUAUGUUUAAGUAGUUACAUAAGCGAAUUUGAAGAUAAGUGUCAUGUUUUGAUUUUAUUUUAUUGGAUUAUAUCUUGUUCUUAUUUUUGGAUUUUUCUCUUGUUUUGUUUUGUGGCAUUUUAGUUAUGAAGAGGGAAAAGCUUCGAUAAGACACACUCACCUGAUGCCUUAGAUGUGGCUCCACAUGUAUUUCAACAUUUUAUUACAUUUUUAAUCUAUUGCAUUUUAGCAGUUGUUAUUCAGUUGUAUACCUAACGUUUUACAUAUUUGGUUACAUUAUUUAAGGAUGUUGAGGUCGAAGUUCCUUGAAGCAUGAUAUUGUUGAAGUUCUAAUUUGUACAAGAUAUUGGUUGUUUAAAGUUAAAUCUAUUUGUGUUCAUUUACUUGCUGAACAUUAGAAUAUAGUGUAUUAAUUUAUUUUGUAAGGAUGACAUUAUGAUUGUUGUUUUUUAUAUGAGGACAUUAUGUUUGUUGUUUUAUGUAUUUGCAAUAGAAAAUUAAAAUUUAUAAUUGUUUUGCUUAAAUUUUGAAAUAUUUCAAAUUUUAGGGCCUAUUUUUUUUGUUAUCGCACAAGGCCUUCAAAAUCUCAGGGCCGGCCCUGACUAUUAUGAUUAGUGGACGAAAUUCUUUAAAGGUACCAAUAUUAUGAUAACAUUCAUUAGAGCGCUUAAACAGUUAUACGUACAUUUAUAUAUUCGUGGUCUAGUGGGAGAUUGUUAGAUAAUUAUNAUAUAUGUGAUGUUAUCAUUAAAUCAAGUUAUUAUGGUAAGAGUAUAAAUUGUUGAUGGACCGAUUUAUAGAAUAUUCACUUAACUUGUGGGUCGAGUUCUCGAUUUGACUCAAGAUCCUCAAGAUCCCUUCCAUCUCUCACAUUAGGGUUUAUCUCCAUCUAUAAAUACAUGUGAUGAGGAGCAGAUCGACACACACAAAAAUACACAUGAAAAUUCGUUUAAGGAUUGCUGAGGGAUUUUAGAGAGAGCUCUUGAGAUCAACUGGAAAACCCAAACCUAGUUCUUCAUAUUCGAAGAUUAUAAUGAAAUCAAGUAUCUAAUCGUUCUUUCUUGAUUAAGCUUUCUUGUAAUCAGAUUCGAGCUUAAGAACCUUAUGCUUCCGCGUUUAUGUUUUAGUUAUCAAAACAUCCAACAAAUAAGUCUUAGCUCAUUCCUUACAAAAAUAUUCAUAUUUGAGCUUUUAUGCUCAUUGAUAUAGUAAUCAUAGUUAACAUACAGGGAAAUAUUUAAUAGACAAAUUAAAUAUCAUUCUACUUUUUAUUCCUACAAAUCCUCCUACCCAUUUAAAUGAUAACAUGCGUCACAUUAAUAUCUUAAAAUAUCACUAAAUUUCAUUAAAUGAGCAUUAAAUGUUACACAUGUCACAAUUUAAUUGGAUAGAAGAAUUUAUAGAAACAAAAAAAUAGGAGGAUAUUUAAUUUCUCUAUUUAAUAUGUAUCAAUAUUUUAGUCCAUGAUAUGGGUUAAAACUUCCAAAAAAUAAUUUGUUGGUAGGUUUCGAAAAUUUAGCUGAUAUCCUGUUUUUUUCGUUAAUUUGGUAAAAAUAUUUGGAUGUUUACGAGGAUUACUAUAUUUUUUAACAAAUAACCAAAAUAUUAUGAUUUUUUGAAGAUUAUCCUUGAAUUAGUAUAUAUUAUUGUUAACAAUUCAUUAAAGCGUAACAUAUAUUUUCUAUUAUAAUCAAAUGAAAUACAGUUUUUGCUAAUUUCAAUGAAUGAAAAUGUGGAUUAAGUACUUAUAUUGUUUGCUGACCACUUCAAACUUUUUACAUUUAUCUUAUGUAUCGUUAUGAGUAUCAUGUUAAUAUACACUAUGUGGGUGUUCAUCUGAUGUUGAUGUUCUUUUAAUGUUAUUUAACCUAACUACCAUCCGAUCUCCAUACAUUAGCAACCAUCACUUCCAUCGAGAGUUAAAAGUGAACAUUGAAUGCUAGUUUAAACUAAAACAAAUGAAAGGUGAGUAUUUAUUUAAAAUGUCAUUCAACGUUCACUCCUUAUCAUAAUGUGUGCUAGCUGAUGAUUUUUAUCAGGUAAGAUAUGGAGGUUGGAUGGUAGUUAGUUUAAAAAACAUAAAAUGAACACCAACAUCAGCGGGACACCCAUAAAAUGUAUCUCACCAUGACAACCACAAUGAUGCAUAAGAAGAAUGUAGAGAGUUUUAAAUUACCAUCAAACAAUAUGAAACUAUUUAGUCCAUCUUUCUACUUCUAGAAAUUAGCAACACAUGUAUUUCUUUUAUUUAUGAAAAAAAAAAAGUUGUAUUACAUUUACAAAUGAUUUGAUAAUAAUAAUAAUGUACAUUUGUUCAAUAGUGGUCUUAAGAAAAGUUUAAAUAUUUUGGUUGUUGGUUAAAACAAAGUAAUCAUUAGGAAAAGUUUCAAUAUUUUAACCAAAUUAACAAAAAAAGACGGGAUACCGGCUAAAUCUGCAAAACUGAUCAAAAAGGGUUUUCUGAAAUUUUAGCCAGCAUUAUGUGUUUUUCUGUUAAUGAAUUUUAAUCGAUCGNAUAUAUAUAUAUAUAUAUAUAUAUGAAAAAAUUCAAUAGAGAACAAUUAUUAAUCAAGAAAUCAAGGAACCAAUCCAAACCGUCGAAAUUUAAAACGAUCAACGGUAAAAUGAAGAGUUGUAGACUUUUACAAUUGACGUACAUCCACCGGAUCAUAACAAAACGUACUUCCUUUUUUUAGUUUAAUUUUUUUAGGUCAUGUUUUUUAUAAAAAAAAAAAAGCAAAUAUAUCAUUGUUCGUGAUUUUCAGUCAUCUUUCUAUAGAGAUCCAUAUUGAUAUAUAAAAAAUGAUUCUUUUUCAAAAAACUCACUUCAUUUUCUUUGUUUGUUGAAAAGUUAAGAUCUAUUUUUUAUAGAAAAAAAUUAAUAAAUAUAUCAAAAUUCAUAUUUUUUGGUACUCUUUAAACAUAGACUCAUAUUGAUGCUAAAAAAAAUCGAUAUUUCAAUUCAGAUUCACAUUGUGGACCUGUUCAAAAUCACAUUGCAAACCUGUUCAGAUUCACAUUGCAAAUAUGCUCAGAUUCACUGUGUGAAUAAUAGUAAGUCAGAUUCACAUUGCGAACCUGUUCAGGUUCACAUUGUGAAUCUGCUCAGAUUCACAGUGUGAAUAAUAGUAAAUUUCACUAACUUAAUUUGCGAAUGAUCGAAGAGUUGAAAUAGUAAGUUAAAUUCACAUUGUGAAUGUUACAAACUUAAAUAUUUACAGUUUAGAUUCACAGUGUGAAUAUGAACUGAUCAAACUUUUUCACAUUAUAAAUGUUAAAAAUUGAAAUAUUUACAGUUUAGAUUCACAGUGUUGUGAAUCUACACUGAUCGAGUUUUUUUUAAUCGGUGUUGAUGUUUAUUAAUAGAGUAUAAAAAAUUACUCCCUCCGUCCCAUAAUAAUUUUCCACUUUUGACUUUUGAAGUCUUUAUUCAUCAACUUUGACCUUAAAUAUUGUUAUUUGUGUUAUGUAUUACUCGUUGAAACUUAUAGCAAUGAAAAAACAUUUAAAAUACAAUCCAUUCAUAAAUUUUGCAUUAAGUUUUUUAUAUCAAGGACAAAAAUAUUUAAGGUCAAAGUUGAAGAAUAAAGACUUCAAAAGUCAAAAGUGGACAAUAAAUAAGGGACGGAGGUAGUAAUAUUUUUGGUAUAAUUAGUUUUUUUUUUUUGGAUAAAAAUAAAUUUAAAUAUUGAAAAAAAUAACAAAAUGAAGUGGGUUUUUUAGAAAAAAAAAAUCUUUUUUAUAUAUCAACAUAGAUCACUAUGGAAAGAGGACGAAAAAUCGUGAACAACGAAAAAUGUGGUGUGUUUUUUGGUAAGGGGGUGGAUUUUUUGAUAUAAUCUGGUGUGUGUGCGUCCAAUGUAGAAGUGUACAUCUAUUUCCUUAGCCGUUGAUCAUUAUGAUUUCGGACGCUCACAAUUAGUUCUUUGAUUCCUUGUUAAUUAUGGUUAUUUAUUGAACCUCAUCGUUAUGUUUAAAUUGUGAAAGAUAUUUUAUGAAAAAUCCACGAGCCUAAAAGGUUUGAUUUAGAUAACAAUAAGAUAAUNNNNNNNNNNNNNNNNNNNNNNNNNNNNNNNNNNNNNNNNNNNNNNNNNNNNNNNNNNNNNNNNNNNNNNNNNNNNCACACACACUACCCGUUUACCCGUGUCAAGCGACAUGUGCGAAUAAUUUUUUUUUUUUUAAAUUAGUUCUUAGAGACGAUUAGUUCUUUUACACAAAUAGAUUACUAUAUCUAAACAAUUACCAAUAAAAGUUAAUCGUACAACAAUUUUUUAUACGGCACAUUUGAGGUAUAAACUUCGUCCUCGUUGAACUUUUUCAGCAUUCACUAAUACCUUUGGAUUGACACGUAAUUUUCCUUUGGACAAUGCAACAUAAAGUUUCUCAUGCUUGAAAAUAGUUUUCAGUCGACUGAUUUUUCUUUAAGCAGACACUAAUUAAUUCCAUUUCGAUGAGUAGUUUCUUGUUAACGAAUAAUUUUCUAUAACUUUAUUUUGACGAACAAUGAUAGUUUCUUUAGAAACACGUGAGGUUACAAAGAACAAGAAAUGCAUCAACAUAUAUCUAAGUUUAUUUUGCGGGGAUUGUUUGAUGAAUAGUUUUAUUUAAGGUAAAUAGUUUUUUAUUUUACGUAAAUAGUUGUUUUUGAAAGAUGAUGAAUAGUUUUUUCAAUGAAUAGUCGUUUGUUAGUAUCGUUAAGAUUUUUGUAUUGAUUUAUAAUUAACCAAAAAUGACAAAGGAUAUUUGAGAUUACCAUUAGAAACCAACGUUUUAUUUUAUUUUAUUUUCAUAGCAUAAUCUGUCAUUUUUAGAAACAUUAUUGGGGUUUGAUUGGUUAAAUAAUACUUCCUCUCUUCCAAAAUUAUUGUCCACCUUACUAUUAUAGUUUGUCUCAAAAUUAUUGUCCACUACCAAAAGUAGAUAUAUACUUUUACCAUAUUACCCCUAACAUUUAAUAAAGUAAACUUGAAUAAUUACAAACACACAUUUUCCAUUGGUUUUAGAAAUGGGCAAGAGGGUCAUUUUACUCAAAAAGACAAAAGUAAUGAUUGUUUUUCUUAAUUUAUGUGUUUUUUGUCCGUGGACAAUAAUUUUGGGACGGAGGGAGUAACAAUUUUCACAAUCUAAUAUAGUGAUCGUUAACAAAGAAAAUUAUUGAUCAAUCAAAACAUCAAUUUACCAAAAUACCCAUGGUAUACUAAAAUGCUAUAAUAUCAUGAUAUAAUCAAUAUUGAUAUAUUGUUUAAAGUUUCAUGACCUAAUAAAAAAAGUUAAAUGACCAAUAUACAUAUAUUAAAACUAGAAAGGUGUACCCCCCUUCGCGGGGUGUUGGAAGGUGUCACUUUUGAAUGGUAGGCACACUAAAGUACAUUGCUAUUCUCUGCAAUUCGCCUGUACAUUUCUAUUUCUUAACCUGUACAUUGCUAUUUCUUAAUUUGAUAACUAUAAAUGAAAGAGGUUUUCAAAGAAUAUUGGUUCUAACAGUUUUGAUUUAAGAAAAUUUUGAAAGCUUGUACUUUAACAUGAAUAGCAUCCAGAAUUGGUUUCCAUUCCUCCACUUGUUCCCCUGUUCAUGUAAACUCCCAUCUUUUUUUUUUGUUUCUAAUGAUAGCUCUAUCAGGACUCAAUUGUUGAUGGUGAUGUACGUACUUCCUCGCUUGUCCCUCCAUCAAAACCCUGGAGGUUUCCAGGUUCAACCAUGAUCGAUCAAAAGAAAAUAGAAGUGACCCACUUCAAUUUCUGAAGUUAUUUUGCAUGAAUCCUCUGUAGGGCGACGAAAUCGUACCCCAAAACGAAGGAAUAGAUAAAAAUAAAGAGAAACAACAGAAGCGGGUAACCGGAAGGUCGGGAUCAGAAUUGCAGAAAGGAAUUACAGAAGAAGAGAAUUAAAGAAGAAGAAGAGAAUUAAAGAAGAGAGAAAGUCGGGUAACUGGACGGUUGCGUGAAGCAGAAGAACCAUCAACCUGGUGAAGAUGAUGGAAGGCGUUGUCGAUCCAUUCAUUGCCGACCUGCGGACAUCUUCUCCCACUUACCGAUAUUGAGCGGAAUCGGUGGAGGCCUCUUCUUUUCCCACUUACAUUGCGAGGUCAUAUGUAUUGUUUUUUUUUGGUCUAAGUCGUUAAAACAAUUUGUUACGAUAGUAUUUUUUAUAAAACACAUUGAAAGGUAAUAUAUACAAAUAAGCAAAAAAUAAAAAAAUAUAAUCAACUAUGUACUCAAUAGAAGAUUUGGGAUUCGGGAAGCUGAUUACACAUCAAAACAUUUUAUCAAAUUUGUAACAAAAUCAAUACCAAGUUUGAUUUGACAACAAUACUCAAUAGAAGAUUUGGGAUUCGGGAAGUUGAUUACACAUCAAAACAUUUUAUCAAAUUUGUAACAAAAUCAAUACCAAGUUUGAUUUGACAAAGUCAAAGUAAACAUUUUUUUUCUUGUCCCUGUGGUUGCAUCAGUCUUUCCAUUUCCAUGAUGGCAACAUCUACUUGCUCUGCUGCCACCUGCCAAGCAGCAGAAAUAAUAUAUUCAUGUGAAGACCAAAACGACAUAUGGUAUGUUGCUAUUUUUUUACCAAAUAAUAAAAUUGCAGCAUAUAAUUGGUUCCACGGUGGGUAACUUCAACCUUGAAUCUUGUCAUUGUUUUUUUGAUCUACUCAGCAUAAAAGAUGCAAAAUAAUAGUAAUAAUAAUAACACAUCAAUUAGUGUUGAAUCAUAUUAAAACAAUUUUUAAAAAAAGAAGCUAACCUUCAAUCGGUCUGCAUCAGAUAAAGGUCUUGCAGAAACAUGUCAAUUCAAAAGCUGUGUUAGAAAGUUGAUCACAGGCAAUGGCUCGAUGAACGCAGUAGAAAACAUAUAUGCAUCACAAACAUGUCAUAAAACAACAUCACGACAACAAAUUUCAAAGAACACCAAAAGAAAAGUUGCAAAUUUUUUAGUAAAUUACAAAAUUUUUCCCUGCACUUUCUGAAUUUUAUAAAGUUUUGCCCUUAUUAAAGAUUCUAUAGACUAAAAUCAAUGAGAAAAUAUUGACCAAACUCAGAGUUGUUGGAAAAAAUGAUUGGGUUAGUUCAUUAUAAUCCAAAAUAUAAGGCAUCCAUAAACAAAUGAAAGUAAGUACAUUGCUAUUUUAAACAUCCACAACAUUAAGAAAGCAGCUGAAAUUGUCCAUACCAACCAAUCCCUAAAUCACUGCAGACUGCUUAAUGUCAAUCCACCGGGUGUAGUUACAAUACGACACCAAUAACCCUACGAUUACAAUAUCCUAAUAAACGAACUCUAAAAGUACUCUAAACCAAUCAAUGAAAGUUCAUUGCUAACAUAUGCAUUUAAAUAUCCUGCAUGCCCUGUUCGUGAAGAUUGGCUAUUGAUGUUUUCUCCCCCAUUGCCUUGGUCAUCAAUCCGUGAGUAUCUACACAGAAAAAAAAAAGAAUUGGGUAUCAGAUGCAGGAAAAAAAAUCUAAUGAAAACCUAAAAAAUCAUAGAAGUUUCAUAUAUUGUUUCCUAAUUUAACCAUUUUCACCUCUUAUAUCAUGUUUUAAUAAUAAUUUGCCCUAAUGUGAAAAUUAACAAAUGAGGAAAGUAAAAAAGUUCACUUACUUCUUCUUCCCAAUUUUUUCUAUGUCCAGGAGAUGGUGGGACCCACAACUGUCCAUUCUCUAAAACCUUCAUUAAAUGUGAGUUAUCUUUUGAUGAACGCAAGAAUACAGAAGCUGACAUACUGCACACUCAUUCCUUUUGUAGUGAUGUUUGUGUUCUUAUUGAAAGUAAAACUUGCAAAGUUUGAAAGAUCUGUAAAAAAAAAUUAAGAUAAUUAAAACUCUUGUUUCCUUCAAAAUCAAUAAAGAAUCAAGAUUUGAUAGCUUCGGUGUAAGGGAUGUUUCAAUUGGUUUUAGAAAGUGAUUAUGUAAUAGUGAAUGAAAAUAAAGUAAUCAAGCCACAAAUAACAUCAUCGUUCCAAAGAUUACAUCCAAAGACCCAUCUAAAAGGGAAUCAUAAAUCAACUAUUCGUCGGAAUAGCUUCACGGCUUCUACGGAUUUUAAAUUAAAGUAAAUAUUAAAGGCAUCCGAGGCUUUCCAACAAUUGCAUCAACCUUGCAACAUGUAAGUAAAAUAGAUAAAUAUAUAAUAAUUGUUUAUUUGUUUCAAAAGAAGUGUUUUUUUUUUAACUAAAACUAUAAAUUUUAUGUAUUCACUUGUAAAUAGAAAAAAAUAAUAGAAGUUUACCAUCAACUUUUCAAUUAUGCCCCUGCCCCUUGAUCAAAUUAUUCGAAGACAAAUCAGAUCUGGUUGAAGAACAAAAUAAUAAGUAAUAUUUGAAAAAAAUUCAACAUUAAAAUGUCCCUAUAAUCAAAUUAUUCCAACGGUUUGAGAACCUGAAUCUUCAUAAUAUUUAGAGUGCCCUACAACAAAAAAGUCCCAAUAAGUAGCGAUAAACAGAAGAUACAAUAUGAGAGGUUGUCCAUUAACAAAACCGAUUUAAUAUUGUAAGUAUGUUGUUAUUAUCAAUAAACAUUAGAGCAUAGAGGUUAAGUACAUUGCUAUUUUUGCAAAAUAUAAAAAUAAAAAAAUAAAAGAAAUCAAAGGGCGAUUAGACAACCAACCGGUUAGAAACCGAAAGAUUUUGGUGUGUGUGUGUGAGAGAGGGAGACAGAGUGCUGAUGUGGAUACCUAUACCAUAAAGUGAUGAGACGAUUUGUAUGAUUCCCACUGUGAUCGUUUGAGAAUGAACUUUUUGUUCUUGCAGCUGGUAUUACUAUCACCCUGAUAAAAAAAAAUAUAACGAUAAAGCAUUGUAAGGGUAUUAGGGUAAUAAGGGUAGUUUAGUUAUGAUCAUCACAAAGUACAAGUUGAAGAGGCAUGAUUUGAAAUCAAAGCACACACUUGGCCAGUGUCCGUUCUCAUGAGAAACAUUGAACCCUUUAGCAAAUUACUAUAAUUUUUAAAAACAAACAGUUCAAUGGAUAUUUCGAUUUUUUUAAAAUACCAUUAGGCUAUUUACUAACAAUUCAGAUUUGGAUAAGAGAAACUUUAUAUAAAAAAACCUUAAUACUUGUGAAUCAUCGAAUGGCUUCAUCUUUCAGGUCCACUGUCUCAUUGUUCUUCCUCAUAAGGACCUGUAAAUGUACACAUACUUAAACACAACUGAUAAUUUGAAACAAAGGUCAUAAACAAAGCAAAAGUGGGAAAACUCGUUGACCCCAAAUAAGUAAAUAACUUCUAUAAAGCAACAAUUUAAAUAAAUUAAAAAGGAAUUUCAAUUAAUUAAGAAAAAGAAAAGGGGAAAGACAAAUUACAUUAAAUUCAGAUUCUAUGGCCUCGAUUUGUUGAUUCCAAAUGGCUGCAACAAAUUUUGUAGGCUUGGAUCUAUUAAACUGUCUAAACCAACAAACAACAACCAAAAACAUAAAACAAUCAUCAGAUAAAAAAUAAUCAAAGUACAACACCUGAUAUAUAGUAAAAAUGAUCAUAUUUCUAAAGAUUAAAAAUGACGUAACUACAAUAUUUUAUGUGAGAAUCAUGUUAUUUGAAGAGAAAUCGGCGCUUAUGGUUCGAAGUCAAACAAAAACCCUAAUCAACCGUCGAAUGACCUAUGCCUUUGAUGAAUCGUCUUCGUAGGUAUUUCUAUCGAUGCGAUCCUCUAACGUAAUACCAUCUACCCACCCGAAGCGGCGGUAAGGGGUGAUAGCGACCAGCGAAGCGGCAAAGAGAUGAAAAGGAAAUUUCUAGUAGCUGGAGAGAUGAGGCGGUGGAUGAAGAUCUAUCCGGAUGAAAACGGAAAAGGAUGAACAACAUGUGUGAUGGUUUUGAGGGGCGACGCAACUGGAAGUCGGAGGGUGUAAAGAAGAAUGACAGCAAUCAAAAUAUCAUUGGGCGAAAAAACGGUACAAAACACGUGUUGAUAUAUAAGCAGAGGAUCUAUUUUGCCAAAUGUAUAUAUAAAGAAGGACCAUUUUUGCUCCAUCCUUAGCAAAUUUACUGUAGCUAAGGAUUCCGUCCCAAAAUUAUUGUCCACAGACAAAAAAACACACAGAUUAAGAAAAUCAAUAAUUAGUUUUGCUUUUUUGAGUAAAAUGACUUCAUUGUCCUUUUUUAAAACCAAUGGGAAAUGUGUAUUUGUAAUUAUUAUAGUUUACUUUAUUAAAUGUUAAGGGCAACAUGGUAAAAAUGUAUAUCUAUUUUGGUAGUGGACAAUAAUUUUGGGACAAACUAAAAUAGUAAGGUGGACAAUUAUUUUGGGACGGAAAGAGUAUAAUAAGAGAUAAGAAUAUAGAAAGAAAUGGUCUAAAUAAAGACACACGUCAUUUGUAUACAUAAAUAAUAGUUUUUUGACAAUUUAAUUUACAUAUAUUCAUUAAGAUAAAGUAGUUACCGGAAAGUUGAUAACUAUCUAUUCUAAUAAACGAAUGUUUUUUUUAUUACAUGUCAUAUUCUCAUUCAAUUUGUCAAAUGUCAUUUCGUGGCUGUUUUGAAUUAAUUUUUUUCCACACAUCAUUUUAUGGGUUUUUCUAUUUUAAUAAAUUACACAUAAUACUUUAAUGUAAUAAUGACAAUAAAUAUAUUAAUAAACAAAUAUCAAUUUCAUUAAUGAACUUACAUUCUUAUUUCAAAAUUCUCAAAUUAAAGUUCAUUAUUUUAUUUUGUUUAUUUGUUUAAAUUUAAAAGAUAAAAAAAUCAAUUUUAAUAAUUUAUUACUUUUUUUCUUAUAAAUCCAAAGUUCUUAAAUAUUUAAACCUUUAUAUAUAUANAUCAAUUUAAAUAAUUAAUUAUUUUUCUUAUUUUCUUAUAAUUCCAAAGUUCUUAAAUAUUUAGACUUUUAUAUUUAAUUUUUUUAAUUAACCCAUGUAAUACAUGGAUCUUACACCUAGUUUGUUAUAUAAACCAAUAUUUGAUUCUAAAGUUUUUUUUAAUACAUUGUAUUAUAUAAAUAUACCAAACAUAUAACAUUUUAUCCUAAAUUCUCCUACAUUAUUUUAUGAUGUAAAAAUAAUAUAUUAUAUUUAAAUAUUAUAAUUAACAUGUGUAUUAAACUUUAAUUAAAAUGGGAAAGUAAUUUUGAUUGUAUAUACGCAUCAUUUUUUUUAGUUAAAUGUCAUGUUAAAUUUUAGUUUGAAGGUGGAACUUGACACAUCAUUUUAUUAUUAUUUUUAUUAUAUUUGGGAUUAUGCUAUAAGUACUUCAUUAACUAAUUUUACCUCUCCCCCCACCCAUCCUACAUCAAUCUAAUCAAUCUUUUACUUUUGAUUUGACAUCAUUUUUUUUGUUUUUAUCUUUUUUUGUUUUUAUCUUUUUUUGUUUUAUUAUCAUUAUUACUAUUAUUAUUAUUAUUGAUUUCGAUAACCAUUUAAAAUACGGACAACAUUUUAAAAUUCGGCCAACAUUAUAAAAUUUGAACGACUAUAUAAAAUGGAACAAAAGUAAAGUUUGUUUUUGAUCCGCUUACCAUGCAUAUGUAAUACCGAACCAAUUAAUAUAUCCAUGAUAAAUAAAGACAAACUUUGUUUUUGUUAUGUUUUAUAUAGUCGUUCGAAUUUUAUUAUGUCGUCCGAAUUUAUAAUGUCGUCAGAAUUUUAAAAUUUUAACCGAAUUUUAAAAUGUUGUCCGAAUUUUAUACGGUUAUCGAAAUUUAUAACAACAACAACAACAACAACAACAACAACAAUAAUAAUAAUAAUAAUAAAACAAAAAACAAAAUAAGAAAAAAAAACAACAAAAGACAAAAAAAAUCACAUAAGAAUGAUGGAAUUAAAAAAUGAGAUAAGGUAUUUAUAGCAUUAGCCAUUACAAAAGGGAACUGAUAUUUCCACUGUAAAUUUUAAUCCAUCCACUGAGAUUUAUUUGAAUUGCCCAUUAUACCAUUCUAUUAAAGUUUUUAGAUAUUACAGGGAAAAAGAUUCUAGGGCUAACGACGCUCCUUCCUUAUUUGAUCUUGCUUUCUCAUCGGCGCAAAUUCUUCAUCUCAUUCUCAAAAGGUAAGUGAUCCUCAUUAUCUAAUUAUGUUUAAACCAUGUGUAUGUGUAAGAAUUUUCAAUCUCUGAUUCUCAAACACCUUUCAUUGCUAUGUGAAUGAAUUGUCGAAGUUUAAAGUUUUGAUCGAUUGAACAUAUUGAUUCUCUGUGCGUAUGACUAUGAUUCUCUGUACAUGAGUAUGAAUUGUGAAAUUUUUUUAUUAUAUGAAUUGUCAAUUCUCUGAUUCUUUAAUUUGUCUGCAACAAGAGCUUGGUAGUCAUAAACUUAGUCUUCAAAAAAAUGGUGCAAGUCACCUUACGUUGUAAUAUUGAAGACUGGAAACUCCAAUAACAAUUGACAUCACAGGUUUGGGUGAAACUGUUUCAGUUGAUUACUCUUAGCCGAUGGAUAUAGAAGGCAAGAAACGAAUUAAUUCUUAACAGGAAAAUAUCUUCACCAGUACGUUCAUAUUUGAUAAUGUUGUAUCUUUGGUGCUUGCAUGGCUUAAACAUAGGGUAGGGGUGGGGGGAAGGAAAAGAUGGAAUAGUCGGUGUAUAUCUCCUUUCCAUUAAUUGUAAAUACUUGGUGCUUUUUUUUUCUUUGUCUUCGUACUAGCCUUUCUACUUUGCAAAGUUUAUAAAAUUCUUGCCGGUUCAAAAAAAACUAUUAUGCACAAGGAUGAUUUUAUCAUAAUCACUGUGCAGAAUUUGUUGGAUAUAGGUCUACACAUGAUAAAAAGCAAAUGAACUAUACAUGAAAAAAUAAAGAACAGAGGCUCAAAAUAUGGGACCAUUAUUUGAGUUUUUAGUUAUCUAUUUUAAUCUCAAACUAGUCCUACUAUGCUGAAAAUAAAAUGCAACAAAUAAACCCACGUACUCUUCCUAGACUGCUGCCACUAUUCCCUUAUUCUACACCAAACUGCCUCAGACUAUGACCAAUUCUUUUGCUCCAAGUUUAUAUUAAAAACAACUAGAUUAACCGAACAUAAUUCACCAAACCACUUUGAAAUUCAAGACUUAUAGCUUUGUGGAGGGAUGCAACAAAUUUACCAAUGACCAGUAUUUUUUGACACUCGCCUCCAUUUGAAGCUUGAAGCAGCGAAGGAAAAAGAUGCGCUGCUGGAGAUUGCAUCACAAAACCACGAUCUUGUAAUUUGGAAACAAUAUUUCAUGGGAUAUUUCUCUCUCUUCAAUAUCAUUUUCUUUAAAUGAAGGGCAUAUUUGUCAUUAUAUUAAUUUUUCAGUGGAAAAAGUAAAAGCCACAGUGGAAAAAUCAAUACCCCUCCAAAAGUUUUCGAUUAAUCACGUGAUACUGCUAACGAGUUAAGUGGCAUAAACUACGCAUAAGAGUGUCAACUUUUAUUUCAAAAGUCAACAAAAUCCGUCUAACCUUAUCCAUGUGAUGGGCAGAACAAAUUAGUUACACGCAUAAACCUACACUAAACGGACGAGGAAAUUAUUGUAUGUUUAAAUAAUAAUGGUUUUUUUUUUCGUGUUUAUUAUAUGAUAUAUUAACAAGAUGAUCCGGAAAAUUUCCCUUUCAAAUUCUAAAUGCUUCGCUGAAAUCGUAUAAAAAGAAUAUAUUAAUGUCAAGGUUUAUUUUAAGAGUCGUAUUUUUAGAGGUCACAUAUUUUUUUUUGAACAGUCAAGUUUAUUAUAAUUAACAAGAUGCUAGAUAAAAAUCAGUAUUACAAGGAAUUGAUAUAAAUGAUAGAGUUUUGCAAUCUAUCGACCCAAAGAAAGAACAAGUGAUAAACAAGUCUAUCGAUAAUACCGUAUUUUCUCGGCAUUCUAGAUCUAAAGAUCAACUCAUCUCGGAAAUUCCAUAUCAACCAUAGCAAAGUAAGAACCAUCGCAUUAAAACAUCAUUUAUGGUUGUUGCUCAUAGGGAUGAGCGUGGUCCACGAAUCUGACCAAAAUUCAAAUUCUACCAAAACCAAAUCAAUUUUUUUUACGAACUGUAGACUAUCGGAUAUGUAUAUCUAGUCUCUGAUUUGUUUCGGUUUUGGUCGGUGGUCAAUCCAAGAUUCAAUCUCACAUGUGUUUAACUUGAUUAAUGUGACAAAAUUAAUAGGUUGAAAAAGUUUGUUUAUUGGAUCUGAUUAUUAAUAAUAUUUUGAGAUUUAUUAAGUGUUUAUAUGGAUUGAAAGACUUAAAAAUUUUGAAUUUUAAACGUGUUGUGUGCUUCUCAAACCUCUAACUUUUAGAGGUGAUUUUAAUAUAUUCCAAAAAUAUCUAAAUAUUUGAUUUAAAAAUCAAGAGUAGAAACUACUUCCAUUGAUCAUAAACUAACAAAAGUCCAGAAGGAUUGGAAGUAAAGAUCGGAAGUGUUUGCAAAACUAAUUAUUCACAUAUAUAUUAUUGCUAAAAAAAAUAAAACUUCUAAAAAAAAAAUCAAAGAAUCAUAGAUGUCCAUAUAAGAAAAUGAGAAGUGUUCAUUUAAAAAUAUGGUACAAUAUCAAUUUAUUUUUCAAAUCAAGGGAUAUCUACUUAGGACUGAAUAUUUUGUCAAAAACGUCCAAGUCAAAAACCUAAAGUAAUGAAAUUCUUGACAUACACUAAAUAUCUUUGGCACCAAUCCUGAGUUUUCUUACUCAGUUAAUAAAUAUUAUAAUGAUAUUAUUUAUGGCAUAUAUGCCAAAAUAAAUGUCGACAACAAUUCGUUGGGAAAUGGAAAGUAUGAACUAUGAGGAAUAAAAAUUUAUUGGAGGUUUUGAGGUUUGACAGCGUAAACUCAUGUUGUUCAUGGCCUACUCCAACUCAAGUAUAGUGACCCAUUAUGGGCUACUUCAAUGGCCCAAAACAGGGGAUCACAAUGUGGAUAUAUUAUCAAAUUUUCAUAAUAGGGUAAUUUGAUUCAUAUUCAUCUAUACCAAAUAUUAUCAAAUAUUAUCAAUCUUGAACUCGUUUUGUUGAGAGAUGUCUCUCCCACAUUUUUUUCAGUUGCAAAAAACAGCAUUGACUUAUUAGUAAAAUUUUAUUACUUGACACCUGAACAAUCAAGAAAAUAAGAAUCACUCUACCCAAAAAGAUAAGUCGUUGUUCAUUUUGUGAUUCAUGCGUCGACCACUUAUUCAUCUCCUUGGUUGUGGAUGGAAUUGAAUUUGAUUCAAAUUUCAUUUUUCUUGUUUCAUGUUUCUACAAAUUCAAUGUUAUCGAAUUUAGUAUGCAAUAAUUAUUUUAUAUUAUCAUCAAGAAUAUGUAGUCACUAACGACUAUAAGAAUUUGGAUGACACACAAUUAAAGCAACAAUUCAAACAAUGAAGAUAUCAAAAUUUAAAAGGAGUUCGCAGUUUAAUUAAAAAACGAAACUAUAUCAAGGAAUAUCAUGUGUGUUACUGUUGUUUAUUUUUGAGAAAAUGAUAAAAUUAGCCAAAUACACUAAUCACCUUACAAAUUUAGCUAAAAAAUUGAAAUUGCAAAAAUAACCACUGAAUUCGCAGAUAGAAAAGCCCCAUCUGCGAUUUUGGCUUUCCAUCUGCGAAUGUACAAGUGCCUAAAGCACAUCUGUGCUUUAGGCACUUGUACAUUCGCAGAUGAAAUUUUUUUUUCAAUUUUUUUUGUGUAUAUAUAGUGUUUUAGCAGACUUAAAUCGCAGAUGGACACAGUCCAUCUGCGAUUUCCUCUCCAGUUCAUCUGCGAAAUAAUGUUUUUUUUUAAUUUUUUUUUUUAAUUUUGACUAUGAAAUCAAUUGGUUUGACUACGAAAUAACCUUACUAUAUAUAAACUUUUGUAGAAAAUUAUCAGUUUAGUUGGUAUUUCUUUUGGAAAUUUCUUUAAACUCUCUCUAAAAAAUGAUUGAAUAUCUGGUUUGUCUUGUAACCGGUGGGAAAUGGCAAGUAACCAAACACUCAAAUCUGGAAUACGUAUGUCCACAAGGAGGUAUUUCUGAAUUCACGUUCAUAUUUUAUGAGUAUAUUAGUUAUAGUGAAUUUGUAUAUCUGGUGAGAAGCAAAAUUGGUUUGUUAGACAAAUAUAGAAUUAGUCUUCGUUUCCAUCAUCCUGAAUUGAACUAUCAUAUAACUAUAGUUGAAGAUAUGUAUGUUAGAAUGUUGAUAAAUGUAAUCAAAUGUAGUGAAGGAAGGGCUGUGAAAGUGUUUGUGGUGGUUGAUGAAGGAGAUUUGGUUAAUGAGGCUGGUCAAUUUCAUAGUGUUGAUGAUGUUAAUGAGGUUGGUAAUCUAUGCAAUUAUAAAUGGAGCAACGAUCCGAUAAGUACUUUCAAUACUCCCAGUGUACCUCAAUUUCAUAGUGUUGCUGAAAAUGUUAAUGGUAGUUAUUCACCUAUUAACUAUGUGGACCUGAGAAUUNUACAAGUAUGUUGGUGAUGAUGAUGUUGGUACAUAUCUUAAUGACGUGGGUGGUCGUUGUUUUGAUGUUCCCGAACAAGAAGUUAAAGUUAUGAAUAGGCGUGUAGUAGAUAAAAGUAAAAAGAAAAAAAAAUAUGCGUCAAAAGAUGAAAAAAAGCAUGUUUAUGGGGAUUAUGUUGAUAUUGUUGAUGUAGGUUUAGAUAUAACCGAAUUAAAAAAACAAUUCAGAUGGAGAUGAGUUGGGUGAUGAAUUCAAAGUUAAGUUUCCCGAUAACCUUUUUUACGGUAUACCCCCUCUACCAGAAUGUCCAGUUGAUAUUAAUGAAGAUAUCCCAACACAGAUGGUAGACAUCAAUCUUCAAAAGAUUGAAUGUGAGAGUAUAUUUAAGAACAAAGAACUUUUAAAGCGGUGUAUUGGUAAAAAAUGUCUUCGAGAAGGUUUUCAGACGAGGAUAAGUAUAUCCACCAAAUCAAGGUAUGAGGUUGUAUGUGUUUCGAAAAAUUGUUCUUGGUUACUAAGACCGAAAGCAAUUAAAAAUUCUGAUGAACUUUUCCAAGUGAAUAAAUUUGUUGAUGUACACACAUGUUCUUCAACAAUUUUGCAACCUAAUCAUCGGCAAGCAAACAAAUAUGUUUUGGGUGAAUAUCUUGCUGAUGUUUUGGCUGAAGAUUAUAGUAGAGUUUAUCGGGGAAAAUAUAUUGUUAAUGAUAUGAAUGCUCAAUUGAAUAUCAAUAUCUCAUACCAUUAGACAUGGUGUGCGAAGCAAUAUGCAUUGUUGUCGUUAAGGGGUACGAAAGAGGAUUCUUUUACCAAACUUCCGGCUUAUUUCCACAACUUGGUCAAACAUAAUCCGGGUACGGUGACACAUAUUAAAACAGAUGGUGAUGAUCGCUUUGAGUUUUUGUACGUCGCACUUGGUUGUUCGGUUAGUAUUUAAAUAUUUUAUUAUUUUUUCCGUUUUUUUAGUGUAUUUGAAUAGAUAUAUACAAUGUAUUGUAGGUACGCGCUUUUGUCAAUUUCUAUAAACCGACCCUUGUAGUAGAUGGAGCCCACCUAAAGGGCGAGUUCAAAGGAACCAUGUUACUUGCAGUUACCAAGGACGGACAAAACCAAAUAUUACCGGUUGCAUAUGGUAUCUGCAAAAAUGAGUGUACAGAUUUUUAGACAUUGUUUUUUCAAAAACUACGUGAUUGCAUAGGCAAUAUGUAGGAGCUUACAAUUAUAUAUGAUAGGUCUCCAUCUAUAGCAACAUCCGUUGCCAACAUUUUUCCUCACGCUCAUCACGGAAUAUAUGGUGUCCAUUUGUAUUUCAACAUAGUAUCUAGAUUCGGGAAGAGUAACACAGUUAAAGGAAUUUUUUGGGAGGUUUGUAGGGCGUACACAGUUGAUGCUUUUAACGCUGCCAUGGAUGUUAUGAAAAAGACAAAAGAACGAGUAUGAGAGUACUUAAAAAGUAUAAAUCCAGAAACUUAGUCUAGGGCACAUUUUAGAGGGAACCGAUACAAUCUAAUGUCGUCCAACAGUGAAGAGUCUAUAAAUGCAUUAUCGAGACACGCACGUAAGGUGCUAAUACUUAUAUUGAUCGAUUUUUUUUUCGUGCAACAACAAUCCGUCCCCUUGUAAACGAGGGGCGGAACCAAAUACGGUAUCUCUAAAUAUAUCACGUCUGACACCAUCUAACACUUCAAAUACUUCCCAUAUAUUACACCCCGAUCUUUUUAAGUUUACAAUUGCUUUCACAUUGAAAUUAUUAUAAUCAUGUUGCACAAAACACAAUAACAUAUUAGAGAACUAAACAAAUAUUUCAUUUUAAAAUAUAUGAUUAUUAAGUGGAAUAAUAACAUAAACAAUAAUAACAAUGCAAAUACAAAUAUUUAAUAAAUAAUUUAUAUAUUUAUGCUAAAAAACAAUAUCAUAUUAUAACAGUUUUUCAACUUAAACGACAAAUAUAUAAACAAUUUUUCAAGUUAUACGACAAAUAUACAAACAAUUUUUAACUUUCAAAUUAUAUAAAAUAACAUUUUCUAACCAUAUAAACAAACAAUUUUUCAACUAAAACGACAACUAAAUUAACAAUUUUUCAAGUUAUUCGACAAAUAUACAAACAAUUUUUAACUUUCAAAUUAUAUAAAAUAACAUUUUCUAACCAUACUAUAAAAUCUUUUCUACUAAAACAACAAAUAUAUACAAAAUUUCAAGUUAUACGACAACUAUACAAACGACUAUUGUACACAUAUUAUAAAAUUUUCUAACCAUACUAUAAAAAAAUUUAUACUUCACCAACAAAUAUAUACAAAUCUUCAACUUAUACGACAAAUAUAUAUACAAACGACUAUUCUAUACAUACUGUAAACAUUAUUUUAACCAUUUUUCAAUUUAUAAAGACAAUUACACGAUAAGAAUAUACAAAUUUUCAAGUUAUACAACAACUAUACAAACGACAAAUAAUAUAUUCUAACCAUGCUAUAUCAAUUUAUCAAAUUAAACCACUAACCAAAACAUUAUGUAAACAUUAUUCUAACAAUUUAUUUAACUAAUAAAUUAAAAAAAUUAGCAUAUUCUAACCAUUUUACUAAAUGUACAACCACCCGAUGCACACUCUACACAGUCUCUACUUAUACAUUCAUACGACUACUAACAAAAUAGCAUUUAAACUUCAAGUUUACUAAUAACAAAUAUUAAAACUAUCAAAUACAACAAACUUACCCUAUCACAAACAAUAUAAUUUCAUUUUUUUACACUAACUAAUAAAAUAAAUAAUAAAAUAAUAAAGACAUAUACUAAAUAAAUGUUAAUUAAAACAUAAAAAGAGUUAAAAUCUAACCAUACUUGCGGGAUUAUUGAAAUAAUCCUCAAUUUUCUUCAAAAAAUCGUCAAAAGGAAUCCCCGAGAGAGAAAGUUUUUCUGUAUUGAAAAGUGAAAAAUGAAGAAAAAAAACGUUUUAUAGAGUUUUCAGUAGAAAAUCGCAGAUGAACAGUGCAAAUCGCAGAUGGAAAGCCAAAAUCGCAGAUGGGGCUUUUCCAUCUGCGAAUCCAGUGGUUAUUUUUGCAAUUUCGAUUUUUUUUUGCUAAAAUUGUAAGAUGAUUAGUGUAUUUGGCUAAUUUUGUCAUUUUCUCUUUAUUUUUCCCUGCUUUCCAGUUUAAUGGAUAUCAUUGUCAUGUAAAACACAAUUACCAAAGGGCUUGUAGCCCAGCGGUAUCAGGUGGUGUCCUCCCUCUUUUAGGUCGAGGGUUCAAGUCUCGUUGUGGACAUAGAUGGAAUAGGUGUUGUUAGCUUAGGAGUAGAUUAGAUUUGUCGGUUCAAAAAAAAAAUGUAAAACACAAUUAAUGAUGAAUAAAUCGAUUUGGACUGAUUCUUUUUUACCAAUGAAAUGGGUCAUAAAAAGUGAAAACUAAAACCGACAAUUCUAACCUUUGUUAAACAAUUUGAUUACAAAACCUCUGAUUUGGUGAAACGAAAUGUAGUCUGGUGGCAAAAGUUAUCCAAUGAUUUCAAUUUCUAUCUACAUAAUUCAAAAGACCAGAAAAUUGUAAUCAGCAAAUUACCAAAAAAAUUCAAUAAGUUAAAGGUUUAAUAGUUAUUAUAUGUGGUUGAAAGAAAGAAAAAUCGAUGAUAAAAAAACAAAAGUUUGCUCACCAAGACUAGGGAUCUCCAUAGGAGGUGGACGGCUCUUAUUUUUUGGUCCCACUUGUUCAGGUAUACUUGUGGGGACAAUGGCUACAUAAGUUUCUAUCUAGGGAUGGAAAUGGGGCGGGGUUGACCAUCCUUGUCCCCAUCUCCGAGUGUCUAACAUCGUCUCCAUCCUCAUCCCUAUCCCCGACGGAUGCGGGGAAUCAAAUUUCCUCCCCUUUGUAUUUUGGGCUUCUCCCCAACUGAUCCCCGACCCAUCCUCAAUCUAUCAACAUAAUAAACUCAACUUAAAAAAAAAUUAAUUAAUUAUCAAAACCAUAUCUCAUAAUUAGAUUCUGUUUAUAUCAAUCAUAAAAUUUUAACAAGCAUCAAAACCAAAAUCAACAAUUUGAUACACAGAUCGUCGAACAAAGUGACGAUUGAUAAACUCUUGGAUAUGGAAACAUAAUUUGGUAUAUAGACUCUAUCUCUGAUGGUCUAAUAUAGAUCAAAUCAUUUUAGUGGGCUUAAUUUAAAUUCAAUAAAUGAUCGAUAUACUAAGUGGGGGCGGGGCGGGUUGGGGAUUGUUNCAUCAAAGUGGGGGCGGGGCAGGUUGGGGAUUGUUAUACCCGGCCCCAUCCCCAUCCCCAGUUUUAGCAUAAUGGGAUCCCUAACUCCGUACCCGGUACCCGUUUUGACAGGGAAUACCUGUCCCCGAUUGGGGCGGGUUAACCGGGUUCCCCACCGGGUCGGUAAAAUUUCCAUCCCUAUUUCUAUCUAACAUGGUGAAAUUAUUUCAGCCAAAGUUGUUAAAAUCGUGAACUUAUUUAAGAUCCUUUUUUACUUUGCAAAAUCAUAAUCAUAAAAUCGAAUCGGGAUCGUAAGAUUAUAUACACACACACACACACUCACUAGACAUCUACCCGCACAAAGCAGUGGCGGCAAAUAGUUUCAUUCGACAAUUAGUUUCUUUCGAUAAUUAGUUCGAUUCGAUAAUAUGUUAUAUUUCAAGGAACACAAAAUCGAUACAUAAUGUUAUCAGUCGGUUUUACGGCAAAAAUAGUUUCCUUUCGUCAAAUAGUUUAUUUUGGCGAUUAUAUUCAUUUCAACGAUUAAUUUCUAUAAGGAAACACAUCACCUUCCAAAGAGCAUGCAAUGUAUCGAAAUGUGUUUUGCAUCCCACAAAGACCGGGCACAUUGUUAUGGUAUGCUCAUGAUUAUCCCAAAUAUCAGUUUGAGGUUUGCUAACUUUUUUUUAUUAAUAAUAUCAUUCUUGAAAUUAUAUCAAGUAUCCAACUAAACAUCAUUCAUGUAGCUACACUUAGUCCCACUAACUACUUCAUGAUUCGUAGGAUAACUCAUAGCAAUUCUUGUUGAAAGUUGUAUGAAUUUACCAUAAAAAACGUAAUUGAUAACCAUUGUAAAGAAGAUAAAAAAAUUUCUAUUUCUAUAAAGAAUAGCUAACCAUAAAUUUUGUAAAAGUAGCAUUAUCAAAUAAAACAAUUAUAAAUAUUGAUUCCUAUUGCUAUUAGUGUGAAUUGAGGCAAUCCCCAUUAAAAACAAUGGAUUUGUCGAGCCAAAUAAGAACAAUGGCAGUAUAUAUAGAAAAAGUUAAGUUUAGCAAUUGGAAUUCAAACCUAUCUCAAGGGCCAAAUUGUCAAAAUCAUGGAAAAUAUUUAUUACUCAACCGAAUUUAAGUUAUAGACAAACCACGAGCAACUCUAUAUAAUGUCCUCAAAUCCAAAUCAACAUCAAGGACAAACUCGUCCAGUUAAGGGAAAAUUUACAUUACUAAACCAAUUCAGCCAUAAUCAAAACAGUAACAUCAAAAAUUACAAGUAAGCAUCAACUGUACGUAAAUUUCCAAAACAAUUUUUUAUUUUUAAACCAUACUUUUAAUCAUCAAACAGUAUUAAAACAUAAAGUAUCCAAUGUCAUCAUCACAAAAACAAUUCCCAGAAUCUCAAACAUAAUCUCUAUGAGUGUGUACAGGUCAUGUCGGCGUUUUCCCGUGAUCCUCGCUAGUACCUGAAACACAUAACACAACAACUGUAGGCAUAAAUGCUUAGUGAGUUCCCCAAAAUACCGCAUACAACACAUACGCCUUUCCAGGCCAUAACUCUGUGGGACCUUCCGGUCCAAGUAUCUCAAGGGACUUCCGUCCCAAAUCCCGGUUGACCUUCCGGUCCUACCCGUAUUGACCUUCCGGUCCAUGUCCUCUUGACCUUCCGGUCCAUAUCAUCUUGACCUUCCGGUCCUUUUCAUACAUAACACAUACAUAUCACAUAUCAGCAUAUAUAACACAUAUAAGACCUUCUGGUCACACAUAAGUACCCUUCCAGGUACAGUAUAGUGAGAAGACUCACCUCAAUGAAGUCGAAUAACUCUCGUGCUCAACGUCCCGACCUAGCCUCCUCCUACCAUUCAAAUAACAUCCCCGGUGAAUACUCUCUCAUAGUCUCAUCUUUAAAGAUUGGGUAGAAGGUCAUUCUACCCCUUCCUGAACUCUCUUGAAUCAGUCUUGACCAGAACCCUAAGGUCAACGAAAUUCAAUGGUCAAACUUUGACCCGAAUCGUCGAGUACACAUGGGCGACCCGACGAGUCCAUGCGGGUCCUCUGAACCCUUCCAACCUCUCUUGUCUUGUCGAGUCAUCCUUCCACUCGACGGGUUCCUCCUGUCACGAAUCGCGGGGCAACCCCGACUCGACUCGUCGAGUCCACUUAUGAACUCGGCGAGUCGCUUCUAUGGCCACACUCAAAUGACCUUCUAAGGUCAGAUCUGCUUCUCUAAUCUAUAGAUUUAAUCUUCCCAAGCAUGAUAAUCAUGUAAAGGUCGAAUAUUGGUACACAUGCAACACACCCAAAGCUUCUUUUGGUGAAAUAACCUCUAAAAUGGCCUCCUAGGCUCAUAACUCAAAAGGUAUGGCAUAAAGCAAAGUGGUAAGGACUCUCUGGACCUCUUAAGGUCCAGAUCUAUGAACCAACUCGCUUUGGGACCUCACAUACUCCAGAUUCAACUAAAAGAAGCAUAAAGAAAACCCUAGAUUUCACUAGAAUCAUUAUGAACAUGAGAAUGACACAGAUUAUUACCUCCAACAUCUUCCUCUGACCAAAUAGAAAUGGAUCCAAGCUCCUCAACCCGCCUAGCUUGUUCUACCUCCUUCCUUCUUGCUAAAACACACAAGAAAUGGUGAAUUAGCCUUCUUCUUGCACCACAAAUGAUCUCUAUGCUCUCUAGGGUUUUCAGGGGAGUAAUGGCCGGAAAUGGAGGCCAUAAAGGCCUUUAAAUAGGGCACAGUCGCACAGACCCCGAGAAUUAGGGUUUCAUUCCACAAUGCGAACUCGUCGAGUCCACCUUGCCGACUCGUCGAGUCCGUUCAUUAAUCUAGUCAGCAAGUCGCGGUCCUACUCGACGAGUCCACGACUCGACUCGUCGAGUCCCUCUCUUUACUAAAAAAAAUUGAACAUAAUACUUGAAACUCCAGGUGUUAAAAUUCUCCCCCACUAGAAUCAGACUUCGCCCCCGAAGUCAUGAUCCGCAAACAACUCUGGAUGCUACUCCCGCAUCUCCAACUCCGGCUCCUAAGUCAGCUCGGACCCUUUCCGAUGUUGCCACUGGACCUGAACCAGGGACACCUCCUUGUUCCUCAAAACCUUGAUCUUCCAAUCCCGAAUCGUGAUUGGCCUCUCAACAUAAUUUAGGUUCGCAUCCACCUAAAUAUUCUCCAGCGGCACUACCGCCGACUCGUCGGCUAUACACUUCCUCAACUGAGACACGUGGAAGGUAUCAUGAAUCUGACUCAACUCCGUAGGUAGCUCCAACCGAUAUGCUACCAUGCCUACCCUCGCAGUCACCCUGAACGGCCCAAUAUACCGGGGCCCCAGCUUGCCCCUCUUCCUAAAACGAAUCACUCUUUUCUGUAACGCCCGCAAAUCUGGGCUAGUCAAAUUAGAGGCAAUAGGGGUCGAAAACGACUUUUUGACAAAAGAUUAUUUAGAAUAAANGGUCGAAAACGACUUUUCGACAAAAGAUUAUUUAGAAUAAAUAAUCUUAACCAAGUUGUAGAGUAUGUUACAAGGUUUUCGUACAUAUAAAGAACGCCGAAAACCGAGUUAUAACGAAGAAGUUAUGACCCGUUGAAGUUUCGCGACGGAACCGGCACGAUACCGGGAAGCGUAAAUAGUGAAUUUACGAUAGAGCGAGAUUUAGACUUAGUGAUCUAAACGAAAUUCGUAGAAUAUGUUAAACUAAGAACAUCGAUAAAAGGAACGCCCAAAUCUGACUUCGUAUGAGGAAGUUAUGAUUUUUCUAAGAUUUAGCAUAGCAGUGCACAGCCCGAAAUCUGAAUUUUAGAUCGGUCGAUUUUUAGCCGACGGGAUCUAAAUGAAAGUUGUAGUACUCGUAAAUACCAACGCGUGGAUAUAAAGAACGUCGAUAAUAGAGCUCGUAUGCAAAAGUUAUGGACGAAGCUUAGUCCCUACUUUUCGAGCGCGGCGAAUUCGAUACAGUUUUGUAAAUACGAGAUAAAAUGAGAAUUAGCCAACGAGGUCUAAAUGAGAGUUGAAGAUCUCAUUAAUAGGAACUCAACGG